This 400-nucleotide ribosomal RNA is filed under the name uncultured bacterium. RNAcentral describes it as "bacterial SSU rRNA". It matches the Rfam family "Bacterial small subunit ribosomal RNA", at positions 355 to 747 of the family's 1533-position model. The record is from RNAcentral.
UGGGGAAUAUUGGACAAUGGGCGCAAGCCUGAUCCAGCAAUGCCGCGUGUGUGAAGAAGGCCCUUGGGUUGUAAAGCACUUUCAGCGGGGAGAAAGGAGCUGCGAGGAUAAGUCGCGGCUUUUGAUGUUACCCGCAGAAGAAGCACCGGCUAACUCUGUGCCAGCAGCCGCGGUAAUACAGAGGGUGCGAGCGUUAAUCGAAAUGACUGGGCGUAAAGGGUGCGUAGGCGGUUUGUUAAGUUAGGUGUGAAAGUCCUAGGCUCAACCUGGGGAUUGCGCCUAAUACUGACGAUCUGGAGUGCUAGAGAGGAAAGUGGAAUUUCCGGUGUAGCGGUGAAAUGCGUAGAUAUCGGAAGGAACAUCAGUGGCGAAGGCGACUUUCUGGCUAGCAACUGACGCU